AAAUACCCAACGACGUUCCCUCCGAAAUACCGUUCUCUAUGAGUCGUGUAGUAUGUACUUUUACUCUAAAAUCAAAAUCAAGCCAGUUUUACUUACUCUGCGCAAGCAUUGUUUUUGCUUGUUACCCGGUAGCCGGACUGUGACGGUACAUGCGGGUAUUACGUCCUGUUAAGCGCAUCUUCCGUGCGGGGUGGCAACGUGAAAACUGACCGUCCGCGGCCGUCCGGGUUGAUCUGGGGAAGAAAAAAAAACCCCCCCAUCUUCCGCGGGACGAAAAAUACGUAUUAAAAG
This is a non-coding RNA of Cinara cedri, 291 nucleotides long. NCBI's taxonomy places the organism in Eukaryota, Metazoa, Arthropoda, Insecta, Hemiptera, Aphididae. The record is from the annotation of a GenBank genome assembly.